CAUAGGUUAAUGAGGCGAACCGGGGGAACUGAAACAUCUAAGUACCCCGAGGAAAAGAAAUCAACCGAGAUUCCCCCAGUAGCGGCGAGCGAACGGGGAGGAGCCCAGAGCCUGAAUCAGUGUGUGUGUUAGUGGAAGCGUCUGGAAAGGCGCGCGAUACAGGGUGACAGCCCCGUACACAAAAAUGCACAUGCUGUGAGCUCGAUGAGUAGGGCGGGACACGUGGUAUCCUGUCUGAAUAUGGGGGGACCAUCCUCCAAGGCUAAAUACUCCUGACUGACCGAUAGUGAACCAGUACCGUGAGGGAAAGGCGAAAAGAACCCCGGCGAGGGGAGUGAAAAAGAACCUGAAACCGUGUACGUACAAGCAGUGGGAGCCUCUUAAUGGGGUGACUGCGUACCUUUUGUAUAAUGGGUCAGCGACUUAUAUUCUGUAGCAAGGUUAACCGAAUAGGGGAGCCGAAGGGAAACCGAGUCUUAACUGGGCGUUAAGUUGCAGGGUAUAGACCCGAAACCCGGUGAUCUAGCCAUGGGCAGGUUGAAGGUUGGGUAACACUAACUGGAGGACCGAACCGACUAAUGUUGAAAAAUUAGCGGAUGACUUGUGGCUGGGGGUGAAAGGCCAAUCAAACCGGGAGAUAGCUGGUUCUCCCCGAAAGCUAUUUAGGUAGCGCCUCGUGAAUUCAUCUCCGGGGGUAGAGCACUGUUUCGGCAAGGGGGUCAUCCCGACUUACCAACCCGAUGCAAACUGCGAAUACCGGAGAAUGUUAUCACGGGAGACACACGGCGGGUGCUAACGUCCGUCGUGAAGAGGGAAACAACCCAGACCGCCAGCUAAGGUCCCAAAGUCAUGGUUAAGUGGGAAACGAUGUGGGAAGGCCCAGACAGCCAGGAUGUUGGCUUAGAAGCAGCCAUCAUUUAAAGAAAGCGUAAUAGCUCACUGGUCGAGUCGGCCUGCGCGGAAGAUGUAACGGGGCUAAACCAUGCACCGAAGCUGCGGCAGCGACACUAUGUGUUGUUGGGUAGGGGAGCGUUCUGUAAGCCUGUGAAGGUGGCCUGUGAGGGUUGCUGGAGGUAUCAGAAGUGCGAAUGCUGACAUAAGUAACGAUAAAGCGGGUGAAAAGCCCGCUCGCCGGAAGACCAAGGGUUCCUGUCCAACGUUAAUCGGGGCAGGGUGAGUCGACCCCUAAGGCGAGGCCGAAAGGCGUAGUCGAUGGGAAACAGGUUAAUAUUCCUGUACUUGGUGUUACUGCGAAGGGGGGACGGAGAAGGCUAUGUUGGCCGGGCGACGGUUGUCCCGGUUUAAGCGUGUAGGCUGGUUUUCCAGGCAAAUCCGGAAAACCAAGGCUGAGGCGUGAUGACGAGGCACUACGGUGCUGAAGUGACAAAUGCCCUGCUUCCAGGAAAAGCCUCUAAGCAUCAGGUAACAUCAAAUCGUACCCCAAACCGACACAGGUGGUCAGGUAGAGAAUACCAAGGCGCUUGAGAGAACUCGGGUGAAGGAACUAGGCAAAAUGGUGCCGUAACUUCGGGAGAAGGCACGCUGAUAUGUAGGUGAAGCGACUUGCUCGUGGAGCUGAAAUCAGUCGAAGAUACCAGCUGGCUGCAACUGUUUAUUAAAAACACAGCACUGUGCAAACACGAAAGUGGACGUAUACGGUGUGACGCCUGCCCGGUGCCGGAAGGUUAAUUGAUGGGGUUAGCGGUAACGCGAAGCUCUUGAUCGAAGCCCCGGUAAACGGCGGCCGUAACUAUAACGGUCCUAAGGUAGCGAAAUUCCUUGUCGGGUAAGUUCCGACCUGCACGAAUGGCGUAAUGAUGGCCAGGCUGUCUCCACCCGAGACUCAGUGAAAUUGAACUCGCUGUGAAGAUGCAGUGUACCCGCGGCAAGACGGAAAGACCCCGUGAACCUUUACUAUAGCUUGACACUGAACAUUGAGCCUUGAUGUGUAGGAUAGGUGGGAGGCUUUGAAGUGUGGACGCCAGUCUGCAUGGAGCCGACCUUGAAAUACCACCCUUUAAUGUUUGAUGUUCUAACGUUGGCCCCUAAUCGGGGUUGCGGACAGUGUCUGGUGGGUAGUUUGACUGGGGCGGUCUCCUCCUAAAGAGUAACGGAGGAGCACGAAGGUUGGCUAAUCCUGGUCGGACAUCAGGAGGUUAGUGCAAUGGCAUAAGCCAGCUUGACUGCGAGCGUGACGGCGCGAGCAGGUGCGAAAGCAGGUCAUAGUGAUCCGGUGGUUCUGAAUGGAAGGGCCAUCGCUCAACGGAUAAAAGGUACUCCGGGGAUAACAGGCUGAUACCGCCCAAGAGUUCAUAUCGACGGCGGUGUUUGGCACCUCGAUGUCGGCUCAUCACAUCCUGGGGCUGAAGUAGGUCCCAAGGGUAUGGCUGUUCGCCAUUUAAAGUGGUACGCGAGCUGGGUUUAGAACGUCGUGAGACAGUUCGGUCCCUAUCU
Molecule: ribosomal RNA, 2454 nt
Filed under: Escherichia coli
Lineage: Bacteria; Pseudomonadati; Pseudomonadota; Gammaproteobacteria; Enterobacterales; Enterobacteriaceae
Description: partial 23S ribosomal RNA
Rfam family: Bacterial large subunit ribosomal RNA
Source: RNAcentral